UACGUAGGGUGCGAGCGUUGUCCGGAAUUAUUGGGCGUAAAGAGCUCGUAGGCGGUGUGUCACGUCGGCCGUGAAAACCUGCAGCUUAACUGUGGGCGUGCGGUCGAUACGGGCAUCACUGGAGUUCGGCAGGGGAGACUGGAAUUCCUGGUGUAGCGGUGAAAUGCGCAGAUAUCAGGAGGAACACCGAUUGCGAAGGCAGCUCGCUGGGACGUAACUGACGCUGGAGACGCGAAAGCGUGGGGAGCAAACAGG
Molecule: ribosomal RNA, 255 nt
Filed under: uncultured bacterium
Lineage: Bacteria
Description: partial 16S ribosomal RNA
Rfam family: Bacterial small subunit ribosomal RNA
Source: RNAcentral